This 214-nucleotide unclassified non-coding RNA is filed under the name Hevea brasiliensis (rubber tree). The record is from RNAcentral. Lineage: Eukaryota; Viridiplantae; Streptophyta; Magnoliopsida; Malpighiales; Euphorbiaceae.
UGGAAUGUUGAGUUCAAGGCGGAACUUGGGGCCAUCAUAAUGGUGAAGAAUUGGUCUGAAAGAGUCUUCUUCCAGUGGAUCGCAUAUCUUCCUAGUCACAAUUCUUACCUGUGCCGGGAAACGAGAUUCGCCAGGAGUUUUCUUGUCUUCCCAGGCAGUUGGAUCAAUGUUUGUUCCUCCAAAGCUUGCAGCCUCAAAGAUUCCAUGGAGUUGG